Long non-coding RNA from Bombus terrestris (buff-tailed bumblebee), 1823 nucleotides. RefSeq lists it as uncharacterized. The record is from RefSeq and is a predicted model, not a curated record. The transcript is spliced from 4 exons. NCBI's taxonomy places the organism in Eukaryota, Metazoa, Arthropoda, Insecta, Hymenoptera, Apidae.
UGCAUAUGCUUUUCUCGUGUCUAAAUAUCCCGCGAGAUGACGCUCGCGUACCUUUAACGAGAUACUUGUUUAACGACGAGAGGUAAUGUUAAAAAUUUAUUAACAAAUUUCAAAAUACUACUCUGAAAUUUGGACGGAUAUUUCCUUAGACCAUUAUCAGUCUUUUUGUUAAAAUGUAAAAAGUUCUAAGCUUCAAACUAAUUGUACAUUACUGACACGACAUCCAUAACCAAAUACACAUCGCUGCAAAUGUUGCAUCAAGCUAUAAUCAUAACAUUAAGAUAUCAAUUUACAAACCUGCAAAAAAUGCAUUAAUGGAAUAUGCAAAACUUACAUAGAUGUAAUAACCUCCUACAAGCCAAAGUCCAAAAACUAAUUGGAAUAAACAUACAAUGAACCAUAAUAUAAGCCAGGGAAGUAACCAUCCUCUUAUUCCUUCUCUUAAUCCAUGCAUCAACAAACCGCUUGAUAUUAUCAAGAGAGCAAAAUAAAAGAUCAUAAAUCCUCCAGCAAUUUGCAUUGCUAAAAAAUCAUAUAUAUAUAUAUAAUGUGUAAAUAUAAUGGAGUAACUGGUAUAUAUAUAUAUUACCAAUACACAAUUGUAUUACUUACAUCCUCUAAUAUCAGCCUCAAACAGAGGAUUAUACAAUUGAGAUGAAUCGCCUCCAUUUAAUUGAUAACAUACCAAUGUAAUGCAUAUUAUACUAAUUGCCUACAACAGGAGAUAAGCAAUUUGAAGUCAUAUAAAAUUAAAAUAUAGUGAAACAGUUAUAUUAAAUUUAAAAUACAUACUAUUGUAUAAAAAGCAAUAGCUUUGCAUCCUGUCUUGAUGUUAUUGGUCCAAACAAAUGGUGACCAGCAGGAUUCCAAUAUGGUCAUGAUUCUGUUAAAAUAAAAAUUUACGUGUAAUAAUUCUAAUAGCGUCUAUUAACUAGAGAACGCGGAUGAUUCGAUUAAUAAACACCACCCACUUGUUGGUGUAUUCAAGAUUCAAGGUUUGGGCGUCAACACGUAAAAGGUCUACCAACAUACAAAUUUCAUAAACUAGAAAAUACUAGCGAACGAAUUUAAUGAAAAUGUUACUUUUUAUCCAUUUCUGAAUGCCACUUUGAAAUUUAAACUUCCAACUUAAGUAACAUAUUAAUAUAUUUUGAAGCGUGUAAGAGAAAGGUAUUAAAAUCAUUAAUGUCGAACACCAUUGUUAUGAAUGAAAAUUUUAUCUAUACAUACGAAAGUAUAACAUCCAAAUCUUGAACAAGAAUAUAAUUAAAAAAAAAACUGCUAGUUUUAUAAUUAUACAAAUGUGAAACUGGAGUUCGUAUUUUGAUAUUUUAAUGUAAUAUUUUAUGAAUCAUUUACUUUAUUUCCUACUCCACGUGAUUGGUUAUCAGAUACACCUUCGAAGGUAGUCACCGGUUACCAAAUUUCAAAUAUUUUAACCAUUUGGAAUGUUUCACUGCUAACAAACAAUGCCACGCACGCGUCAGUAAGUGUACUGUUAAUGGCGCUGUAUCAGCGUUUGGUUCCCCUCCACUUUGCUGCAGGAUUGUUAUGGCGGUUCCCUCAAUACUCGAGCGUAACCUGAUAAAAUGUAUUGUCUCAGUUCUUGUAAGUAAUGUUUAAAUUUCAGUACAGAAGUAUCGGAUAUAUAUAAUUAAAGUAUGACUAGUAGGUUUAUUUAUCAAAGGUCGAAAAAGAAUUUUUUUUAUUCUAAUGUAUCUAUAAUGAACUGACAGUUUUCCUCGGCAAUAACUUUUACAAUUGGAAAGUAUGAAUUGCUUUAAUUUAUUAUGUAUAACAUAAAAUAAAAUUUUAUCACAACA